RNAcentral lists this ribosomal RNA (916 nucleotides) under uncultured bacterium. Its description in RNAcentral is "bacterial SSU rRNA". It matches the Rfam family "Bacterial small subunit ribosomal RNA", at positions 246 to 1155 of the family's 1533-position model. The record is from RNAcentral.
UUGUUGGUAAGGUAAAAGCUUACCUAGGCUUCGAUCAGUAGCUGGUCUGAGAGGACGACCAGCCACACUGGGACCGAGACACGGCCCAGACUCCUACGGGAGGCAGCAGUGGGGAAUUUUGGACAAUGGGGGCAACCCUGAUCCAGCCAUGCCGCGUGAGUGAAGAAGGCCUUCGGGUUGUAAAGCUCUUUCAGCCGGAACGAAACGGUUACGGUUAACACCCGUGACUACUGACGGUACCGGAAGAAGAAGCACCGGCUAACUACGUGCCAGCAGCCGCGGUAAUACGUAGGGUGCGAGCGUUAAUCGGAAUUACUGGGCGUAAAGCGUGCGCAGGUGGUUUUGUAAGUCAGAUGUGAAAGCCCCGGGCUCAACCUGGGAACUGCGUUUGAAACUACAAGACUAGAGUGUGGCAGAGGGGGGUGGAAUUCCGCGUGUAGCAGUGAAAUGCGUAGAGAUGUGGAGGAACACCGAUGGCGAAGGCAGCCCCCUGGGUCAACACUGACGCUCAGGCACGAAAGCAUGGGGAGCAAACAGGAUUAGAUACCCUGGUAGUCCAUGCCCUAAACGAUGUCAACUAGUUGUCGGGCCUUUACGGGCUUGGUAACGUAGCUAACGCGUGAAGUUGACCGCCUGGGGAGUACGAUCGCAAGAUUAAAACUCAAAUGAAUUGACGGGGACCCGCACAAGCGGUGGAUUAUGUGGAUUAAUUCGAUGCAACGCGAAAAACCUUACCUACCCUUGACAUGUAUCGAAGCCCGCAGAAAAGCGGGGGUGCCCGAAAGGGAACGAUAACACAGGUGCUGCAUGGCUGUCGUCAGCUCGUGUCGUGAGAUGUCGGGUUAAGUCCCGCAACGAGCGCAACCCUUGUCAUUAAUUGCCAUCAUUUAGUUGGGCACUUUAAUGAGACUGCCGG